AAGGAUGAUUUUCAAAAUCCUCUGCAAGAGCAUAGCAAAAUCAUCUACAGAACAACGUUUCGCUUCCAAUUUUCAACAGAUUUUAUCACUUUGAUGGUAAAAGGUGAAGUGUAAAGUUAAUUGUGCGUGUAUUAUAUCUCUAUAACUCUUGCUUUCAGUUAGCAUAGUUAAAUUGAACUUUAGAAACCAUAAGAUCACUUGAUGUUGGAAUGACAAAAUCUUACAAUGAAAAUAGCAUACAAAAAACUCAAUGGCUCAAUUCAGAUCCACAAUUACUUAAAAACAUAGGGAGUUCUCAAUGGGUUCGCUAUUUUCCACUGGUUUCACCCUCAAGUUAGGUUUUUGCGUUACCAAGAAGAAUGAAAGUGCAAAUUCAAUCCGAAAUAGCACAAGCUCAACACACAUCUAAUAAAACAUUAGUGAUCAACGCUUUGCCUCAGAACCCAGAAAGGAAAAAGAAAAAGAUGAGUGAGAAUGUGUUCACCUGAAGCUGGA
Molecule: unclassified non-coding RNA, 495 nt
Filed under: Hevea brasiliensis (rubber tree)
Lineage: Eukaryota; Viridiplantae; Streptophyta; Magnoliopsida; Malpighiales; Euphorbiaceae
Source: RNAcentral